GCCAGGUGCGGUGGUACACACCUGUAAUCCAAGUGGCUCAGGAGGCUGAGACAGGAGGAUCACAAGUUGGAGGCCAGCCCCAGCAACUCAGCGAGGUUCUAAGCAACUUAGCAAGACCCUGUCUCUA
RNAcentral lists this small RNA (127 nucleotides) under Marmota monax (woodchuck). The record is from RNAcentral. Lineage: Eukaryota; Metazoa; Chordata; Mammalia; Rodentia; Sciuridae.